CUGGAAUGUUUCCUUCCAACUUCAUCAAGGAGCUGUCAGGGGAGUCGGAUGAGCUUGGCAUUUCCCAGGAUGAGCAGCUAUCCAAGUCAAGCAAGGAUUACUGCAAAGUAAUAUUUCCAUAUGAGGCACAGAAUGAUGAUGAAUUGACAAUCAAAGAAGGAGAUAUAGUCACUCUCAUCAAUAAGGACUGCAUCGAUGUAGGCUGGUGGGAAGGAGAGCUGAACGGCAGACGAGGCGUAUUUCCCGAUAACUUCGUGAAGUUACUUCCACCGGACUUUGAAAAGGAAGGGAAUAGACCCAAGAAGCCACCGCCUCCAUCCGCUCCUGUCAUUAAACAAGGGGCAGGCACCACUGAGAGAAAACAUGAAAUUAAAAAGAUACCUCCUGAAAGACCAGAAAUGCUUCCAAACAGAACAGAAGAAAAAGAAAGACCAGAGAGAGAGCCAAAACUGGAUUUACAGAAGCCCUCCGUUCCUGCCAUACCGCCAAAAAAGCCUCGGCCACCUAAGACCAAUUCUCUCAGCAGACCUGGCGCACUGCCCCCG
Molecule: small RNA, 545 nt
Filed under: Pongo abelii (Sumatran orangutan)
Lineage: Eukaryota; Metazoa; Chordata; Mammalia; Primates; Hominidae
Description: processed transcript
Source: RNAcentral